AGCUCCAAUAGCGUAUAUUUUAGUUGUUGCAGUUAAAAAGCUCGUAGUUGAAUUUCUGGUGGGGGAAUGCGGUCUGACCCUUAGGGUUAGCACUUGCACUCUCCGGCCAUCCUUGGGUGGAGCCAUUCUGGCAUUAAGUUGUCGGGGUGGGGAUGCCCAUCGUUUACUGUGAAAAAAUUAGAGUGUUCAAAGCAGACUUAUGUUGUUGAAUAUAUUAGCAUGGAAUAAUAAGAUAGGACAGCAGUGCUAUUUUGUUGGUUUGCGCACCGUUGUAAUGAUGAAUAGGGACAGUUGUGGGUAUUCGUAUUCACUUGUAAGAGGUGAAAUUCUUAGAUUAAGGGAAGACGAACUACUGCGAAAGCAUUUACCAAGGAUGUCU
This 379-nucleotide ribosomal RNA is filed under the name uncultured eukaryote. RNAcentral's name for it is "SSU rRNA". It matches the Rfam family "Eukaryotic small subunit ribosomal RNA", at positions 587 to 969 of the family's 1831-position model. The record is from RNAcentral.